RNAcentral lists this ribosomal RNA (231 nucleotides) under uncultured bacterium. RNAcentral's name for it is "partial 16S ribosomal RNA". It matches the Rfam family "Bacterial small subunit ribosomal RNA", at positions 524 to 753 of the family's 1533-position model. The record is from RNAcentral.
UACGAAGGGGCUAGCGUUGCUCGGAAUCACUGGGCGUAAAGGGUGCGUAGGCGGGUCUUUAAGUCAGGGGUGAAAUCCUGGAGCUCAACUCCAGAACUGCCUUUGAUACUGAGGAUCUUGAGUUCGGGAGAGGUGAGUGGAACUGCGAGUGUAGAGGUGAAAUUCGUAGAUAUUCGCAAGAACACCAGUGGCGAAGGCGGCUCACUGGCCCGAUAACUGACGCUGACGGCA